CAGGGAAUCUUGCGCAAUGGGCGAAAGCCUGACGCAGCAACGCCGCGUGGGUGAUGAAGGCUCUUGGGUCGUAAAGCCCUUUUCUGGGGGACGAAGAACUGACGGUACCCCAGGAAGAAGCCACGGCUAACUACGUGCCAGCAGCCGCGGUAAUACGUAGGUGGCAAGCGUUGUCCGGAGUUAUUGGGCGUAAAGCGCGCGCAGGCGGCCCGACAAGUCCAUGGUGAAAGCGCCCGGCUCAACUGGGCGAGUGCCGUGGGGACUGUCGAGCUGGAGGGAAGCAGAGGCGAGUGGAAUUCCGGGUGUAGUGGUGAAAUGCGUAGAGAUCCGGAGGAACACCAGUGGCGAAGGCGGCUCGCUGGGCUUUACCUGACGCUGAGGCGCGAAAGCGUGGGGAGCGAACCG
Molecule: ribosomal RNA, 405 nt
Filed under: uncultured bacterium
Lineage: Bacteria
Description: bacterial SSU rRNA
Rfam family: Bacterial small subunit ribosomal RNA
Source: RNAcentral